This 525-nucleotide ribosomal RNA is filed under the name uncultured archaeon. RNAcentral's name for it is "bacterial SSU rRNA". It matches the Rfam family "Bacterial small subunit ribosomal RNA", at positions 513 to 1050 of the family's 1533-position model. The record is from RNAcentral.
CGCCGCGGUAAUACAUAGGGGGCAAGCGUUAUCCGGAAUUAUUGGGCGUAAAGGGUGCGUAGGCGGUUUGUUAAGUUUAAGGUAUAAGCUCAUGGCUCAACCAUGGGAGGCUUUAGAAACUGGCAGACUUGAGUAAGGUAGAGGCAAGUGGAAUUCCAUGUGUAGCGGUAAAAUGCGUAAAUAUAUGGAGGAACACCAGUGGCGAAGGCGGCUUGCUGGGCCUUAACUGACGCUGAGGCACGAAAGCGUGGGGAGCAAACAGGAUUAGAUACCCUGGUAGUCCACGCCGUAAACGAUGAGUACUAAGUGCUGGAGGAUUCAGUGCUGAAGCUAACGUAAUAAGUACUCCGCCUGAGUAGUACGUACGCAAGUAUGAAACUCAAAGGAAUUGACGGGACCCCGCACAAGCGGUGGAUCAUGUUGUUUAAUUCGAGGAUACGCGAAGAACCUUACCAGGCCUUGACAUACCUUGCAAAGCUAUGGAGACAUAGUGGAGGAUAACAGGGAUACAGGUGGUGCAUGGCC